This 497-nucleotide ribosomal RNA is filed under the name uncultured bacterium. RNAcentral describes it as "partial 16S ribosomal RNA". It matches the Rfam family "Bacterial small subunit ribosomal RNA", at positions 28 to 507 of the family's 1533-position model. The record is from RNAcentral.
GAUGAACGCUGGCGGCGUGCCUAAUACAUGCAAGUCGAGCGAACGGACGAGAAGCUUGCUUCUCUGAUGUUAGCGGCGGACGGGUGAGUAACACGUGGAUAACCUACCUAUAAGACUGGGAUAACUUCGGGAAACCGGAGCUAAUACCGGAUAAUAUUUUGAACCGCAUGGUUCAAAAGUGAAUGACGGUCUUGCUGUCACUUAUAGAUGGAUCCGCGCUGCAUUAGCUAGUUGGUAAGGUAACGGCUUACCAAGGCAACGAUGCAUAGCCGACCUGAGAGGGUGAUCGGCCACACUGGAACUGGGACACGGUCCAGACUCCUACGGGAGGGAGCAGUAGGGAAUCUUCGGCAAAGGGCGGAAGCCUGACGGAGCAACGCCGCGUGAGUGAUGAAGGUCUUCGGGUCGUAAAACUCUGUUAUUAGGGAAGAACAUAUGUGUAAGUAACUGUGCACAUCUUGACGGUACCUAAUCAGAAAGCCACGGCUAACUACGUG